This is a long non-coding RNA of Musca domestica (house fly), 1269 nucleotides long. RefSeq lists it as uncharacterized. The transcript has 3 exons. The record is from RefSeq and is a predicted model, not a curated record. Lineage: Eukaryota; Metazoa; Arthropoda; Insecta; Diptera; Muscidae.
AAUUUAAAGCGCUUUUUGCUCUUUUUCGUGUAAAAGUGAAGAAACUUGAAUAAAACAAUUUAUAGCAUUAAAAUAAAUUAAAAUAAGUGAUUUAAAUAAACAAAUUAACUAUAUUGGUAUUAGAAUACGUGUGUGAUAUGUUAAUAAGUGUCUGUAGAGCAACAGACAAGUUUCAAAAUAAGAUCCUGUUCCAUCCUGAUCCAUGCCCAAUUUAAACAACGUUUGUCGGCCGCUUUUUUAAAUCAAUAGUUGGAACAAAAUGCGGUAAUAAUUGAAAACGCUGCAUGGCUGAGGCUAAUUACCAAAAAAGUCCGAUUUUAACUGCGCAUCUUGAAAUACAUACAAAACGCUACCAACCGAAAUAUUGAAGAUGGGAGCGGGAUGGGAUUUUUUAUCAUCUUUAACAAAAUUGCAUUAUGAAGAGCUGUCGGAAUUAUAAGAAGGUGGUACCACGAUGAUGGAUCUUCAUCAUUAUGCUUCGGAAUAAAUUUAUUAUUGGUCUCCCAUGCUUCGCCAUCCAAGGAUGCGUUAAGCUCUCUCUCAGUGUCACAACACUACAUUUUAGGCAUUAAAAAUGUCUACGAGGACUGCCAACAACUCAAAUUGGAUCUACAGUCAGAGGACUUCCUGGUAUAACCAUAUAGAUUCCAGAUCAGGUAUGUUUAAGGCUAUCCAACAAGAAAAUCCGAUGAAAUUCAUAAAAACAACCUACCAGCCAAAAUAUUGAAGAUGGAAGCGGAAAUUGUAUGUCAUCUUUGGCAAAAUGAAAUUCGAAAAGAUUGCAGCAAAACAUUGGCAUUACGAAGAGCUGUCGGAAUUAUGAGGAGGUCUUGAUACGAUGACGAAUAUUCAUCGAUAUGCCUCGGUAUAAAUUUAUUAUUGGUCUCCAAUGUUUCGCCAACCAAGGACCCGUUAAGCAAUCAUCCCGAACUCGAAUUGGAUCGAUAGUCAGAGGCCUUCUCGUUAUGGCAAAAUGAAAUUCGAAAAGAUUUCAUCAGGGCAUCGGUAUUAUGAAGUGAUGUCGGAAAUAUGAGGAGAUUUUGUUACGGUGAUGGCUCUUCUUCGUCAUGUUUCAGUAUAAAUUUAUUAUUGGUCACCCAUGUUUCGCCAUCCAAGGACCCGUUAAGCUCCCUCUCUAUCUCUCUCAAUGUCACAACACUUCAUUUUAGGCAUUAAAAAUGUCUUCGAGGACUGCCAACAAAAUUUUCAUCCUGAGCUCGAAUUAAAUCAACAGUCAGAGGCCUUCUUGGUAUGUCAAUGAAGAUUCCA